CUACGGGAUGCAGCAGUGAGGAAUAUUGCACAAUGGGGGGAACCCUGAUGCAGCAACGCCGCGUGGAGGAUGACGCAUUUCGGUGUGUAAACUCCUUUUAUAUGUCAAGAAAAUGACGGUAGCAUAUGAAUAAGCACCGGCUAACUCCGUGCGCAGCAGCCGCGGUAAUACGGAGGGUGCAAGCGUUACUCGGAAUCACUGGGCGGAAAGGACGCGUAGGCGGGUUGGAAAGUCAGGUGUGAAAUCCUACAGCUUAACUGUAGAACUGCACUUGAAACUUCUAAUCUAGAGUAUGGGAGGGGGAGAUGGAAUUAGUGGUGUAGGGGUAAAAUCCGUAGAUAUCACUAGGAAUACCUAAAGCGAAGGCGAUCUCCUGGAACAUUACUGACGCUAAGGCGUGAAAGCGUGGGGAGCAAACAGGAUUAGAUACCCCAGUAGUC
Molecule: ribosomal RNA, 440 nt
Filed under: uncultured bacterium
Lineage: Bacteria
Description: partial 16S ribosomal RNA
Rfam family: Bacterial small subunit ribosomal RNA
Source: RNAcentral